UCGACCGGUGGUACAACAUGGAGUUCCGCCGAGGGUGGACAAAGGAGAGCCCAGCUGCUGAGCGGCCUGACUCCAGUUCCAGAGUUUGAAUGUAUUUCUUUACAUGAAGAGGACCUAGGGAUGAAAAAGUGAAUUCAGUUUUCUUUGUAGAAGAGGAGGAAGACAAGAGCUACCAUCUGGAGAGCAGAACGUUUUGGGAAGCCAUCAAAGGCAAAGAACCUAAGAAUCCAGGAAGAUCUUGAACUAUUACCCUUUACUUUAAUUUUUAAUCAUGGAAAUAUUUGCUUGGAAAAGAGACUGUGUCUACAAUGGCAACCAUUUUUAUAUUCAGAAAUUUGCCAUGUAAAAUAAUUGAAUGUCAGAUGAAGAACUGCCUGUCAUAUUUUGCUAUUAAAAUAAUAUAUUUUUAUGCAUAACCUGACCUGCCUUUGUGAGUUACUGUAGCCUGUGGUCUCUCUGCAAGAUUUUCCAAUGGGAUUUUUAAUAAUAUUCCGAUGUUUGCCAUCUUAAGCAGUGCAAGCUGUUAAACUCAAUUUGUGAAAAAAAAAAAAUCAGGUAUAAAACCAGAUAAUCUGUAUCCCUUUGGAAUCAAAAGUCACUUUGCCAAAAUAUUUUAACACGCAAAAUUGCUUCUUGAGAGAUGUUUGUCAUGAUAAAAUGACAGAAAACUACAUUUCCAUUAUAAUUAUAACUGACUCGUGGUGCUAAGUUUUUAUAAUUUAAAGGUAUUCUCAACUCUGACAGCCCUUCCAUGUUGAAUUAUGCAUCUCAGGCUCUUAAAUAGUUCUGCUGGCACGAGACAGCUGAGAUGAAGUUGUCUUUCUAAAAUAAUUGCUCCAUGGAGCAUCCAUUAUACCUUCAGAAAAAAUGUAUUACUUGACUUCUACAAAUUAUAGACUAGCCUAUAAUGGGUAUUUUUGACAGCUAUUAGCUUUAAAAAAAUCUGAACAGUAAAAUGAGUAUUGAUAUCACAAUGGUGUACCGUGCAUGUUAAUACCAACCUUCUCUGUACUUUCCUCCUAAAGCAUGAUGUAAUCAUUAAUUAUAAUAAUAUUGAUAUAACUGCACUCAUGUUAAAAACAUAGUAUUGGCAA
RNAcentral lists this long non-coding RNA (1094 nucleotides) under Homo sapiens (human). RNAcentral describes it as "HSALNT0306368". The record is from RNAcentral. Lineage: Eukaryota; Metazoa; Chordata; Mammalia; Primates; Hominidae.